UGAAGGGUAAGAGAGGAGAGGAAGGACCAAGAGGAAAAGAAAGACCCUCUGGUGAGAUGGGGAUGACUGGACCACAGGGAUACAGAGGACCUCCAGGUAUCCAGGGUAAAAUAGGACCAUGGGGGGACGUUGGACCUCGAGGUCUUCCAGGUGAUCCGGGGCCACGGGGACCAGUGGGCCCUCCUGGAGUUCCAGGUUACCCUGGUAAAGACGGAACUCAAGGACCAAAUGGAUCAGCUGGUGUUAAAGGAGAGAAGGUGCGUCUGUUCAGGAGCUGAAGGUCGUAGGCUGAUUGAGCCACACCUGGGAUCAAGUGGCUCAGACUGCAUGAAACCUUCCUCACAUCCAGCAUUGGUCUGUCUCUGACAGGAGCUGCUUCCUUCCGGAGCUCCAGCAGCCUGGUUCUGUUUGGUUGGAGGUCUUUAGUGUGUUGACUUGGUUUGUCGUACAAUAAAAUC
Molecule: long non-coding RNA, 458 nt
Organism: Acanthochromis polyacanthus (spiny chromis)
Lineage: Eukaryota; Metazoa; Chordata; Actinopteri; Pomacentridae
Exons: 5
Source: RefSeq, a predicted model, not a curated record